GGGCGAUUAACUCAGCGGUUAGAGUGCGUCCCUUACACGGACGAGGUCGGGGGUUCGAAUCCCUCAUCGCCCACCA
Molecule: transfer RNA, 76 nt
Filed under: Planctomycetota bacterium
Lineage: Bacteria; Pseudomonadati; Planctomycetota
Description: Planctomycetes bacterium tRNA-Val
Rfam family: tRNA
About the family: Transfer RNA (tRNA) molecules are approximately 80 nucleotides in length. Their secondary structure includes four short double-helical elements and three loops (D, anti-codon, and T loops).
Source: RNAcentral